AUUGAACGCUGGCGGCAUGCCUUACACAUGCAAGUCGAACGGUAACAGGUCUUCGGAUGCUGACGAGUGGCGAACGGGUGAGUAAUACAUCGGAACGUGCCCGAUCGUGGGGGAUAACGAGGCGAAAGCUUUGCUAAUACCGCAUACGAUCUACGGAUGAAAGCGGGGGAUCUUCGGACCUCGCGCGGACGGAGCGGCCGAUGGCAGAUUAGGUAGUUGGUGGGAUAAAAGCUUACCAAGCCGACGAUCUGUAGCUGGUCUGAGAGGAUGAUCAGCCACACUGGGACUGAGACACGGCCCAGACUCCUACGGGAGGCAGCAGUGGGGAAUUUUGGACAAUGGGCGAAAGCCUGCUCCAGCCAUGCCGCGUGCAGGAUGAAGGCCUUUGGGUUGUAAACUGCUUUUGUACGGAACGAAAAGCCUCUUUCUAAUAAAGAGGGGUCAUGACGGUACCGUAAGAAUAAGCACCGGCUAACUACGUG
Molecule: ribosomal RNA, 482 nt
Filed under: uncultured bacterium
Lineage: Bacteria
Description: partial 16S ribosomal RNA
Rfam family: Bacterial small subunit ribosomal RNA
Source: RNAcentral